GAUGAACGCUAGCUACAGGCUUAACACAUGCAAGUCGAGGGGCAGCGGGAUUGAAGCUUGCUUCAAUUGCCGGCGACCGGCGCACGGGUGAGUAACGCGUAUCCAACCUUCCGUACACUCAGGGAUAGCCUUUCGAAAGAAAGAUUAAUACCUGAUGGUAUGAUGAGAUUGCAUGAUAUCAUCAUUAAAGAUUUAUCGGUGUACGAUGGGGAUGCGUUCCAUUAGGUAGUAGGCGGGGUAACGGCCCACCUAGCCAACGAUGAAUAGGGGUUCUGAGAGGAAGGUCCCCCACAUUGGAACUGAGACACGGUCCAAACUCCUACGGGAGGCAGCAGUGAGGAAUAUUGGUCAAUGGACGAGAGUCUGAACCAGCCAAGUAGCGUGAAGGAUGAAGGUCCUACGGAUUGUAAACUUCUUUUAUAAGGGAAUAAACCCUCCCACGUGUGGGAGCUUGUAUGUACCUUAUGAAUAAGCAUCGGCUAACUCCGUG
RNAcentral lists this ribosomal RNA (490 nucleotides) under uncultured bacterium. RNAcentral describes it as "partial 16S ribosomal RNA". It matches the Rfam family "Bacterial small subunit ribosomal RNA", at positions 28 to 507 of the family's 1533-position model. The record is from RNAcentral.